This 216-nucleotide ribosomal RNA is filed under the name uncultured bacterium. Its description in RNAcentral is "partial 16S ribosomal RNA". It matches the Rfam family "Bacterial small subunit ribosomal RNA", at positions 118 to 351 of the family's 1533-position model. The record is from RNAcentral.
UGGGAACGUGCCUUUUGGUUCGGAACAACCCAGGGAAACUUGGGGUAAUACCGGAUAAGCCCUUCGGGGGAAAGAUUUAUCGCCAUUGGAUGGGCCCGCGUCGGAUUAGCUAGUUGGUGAGGUAACGGCUCACCAAGGCAACGAUCCGUAGCUGGUCUGAGAGGAUGAUCAGCCACACUGGGACUGAGACACGGCCCAGACUCCUACGGGAGGCAG